AGUGWCGAACGGKUMAGUAAUCCGUGGRAAUCUGCCCUGUAGUGGGGGAUAACCCGGGGAAACUCGGGCUAAUACCGCAUAUAUCCUAUGGGAGAAAGGGGGCCUCUGUUUACAUGCUCUUGCUACGGGAUGAGCCCACGUCCGAUUAGCUUGUUGGUGGGGUAAAGGCCUACCAAGGCGACGAUCGGUAGCUGGUCUGAGAGGAUGAUCAGCCACACUGGGACUGAGUCACGGCCCAGACUCCUACGGGAGGCAGCAGUGGGGAUUAUUGGGCAAUGGGCGCACGUGRAUUCCAGCAAUGCCGCGUGUGUGAAGAAGGCCUGCGGGUUGUAAAGCACUUUCGGUGGGGAAGAAGAGCUGAGGGUUAAUACCUCUUAGUUGUGACGUUACCCACAGAAGAAGCACCGGCUAACUCCGUGCCAGCAGCCGCGGUAAUACGGAGGGUGCGAGCGUUAAUCGGAAUGACUGGGCGUAAAGGGCGCGUAGGSGGCUUKAUAAGUCAGAUGUGAAAUCCCYGGGCUUACCCUGGGAAUGGCAUUUGAUMCUGUUGGGCUAGAGUGUGGUAGAGGGGGGUGGAAUYCCAGGUGUAGCGGUGAAAUWCGUAGAGAUCUGGAGGAACACCGGUGACGAAGGCGACCCCCUGGGCCAUGACUGACGCUGAGGUGCGAAACGUGGGRAGCAAAWRGGAUUAGAUMCCCUGGUAGUCCACGCUGUAAACGAUGUCGACUAGCCGUUGGAUCCAUUUUGGGGUUGAGUGGCGCAGCAAACGCGAUAAGUCGACCGCCUGGGGAGUACGGCCGCAAGGUUAAAACUCAAAGGAAUUGACGGGGGCCCGCACAAGCGGUGGAGCAUGUGGUUUAAUUCGAUGCAACGCGAAGAACCUUACCAGCCCUUGACAUCCCAAGAAUCCUGCUGAGARGUGGGAGUGCCUUCGGGAGCUUGGAGACAGGUGCUGCAUGGCUGUCGUCAGCUCNUGUCGUGAGAUGUUGGGUSAAGUCCCGUAACGAGCGCAACCCUUGKCCUUAGUUGCCAGCGAGUGAUGUCGGGCACUCUAAGGAGACUGCCGGUGAUAAACCGGAGGAAGGUGGGGAUGACGUCAAGUCAUCAUGGCCCUUAUGGGCUGGGCUACACACGUGCUACAAUGGUCGGUACAAAGGGUUGCGAGCCCGCGAGGGGGAGCCAAUCCCAGAAAACCGGUCGUAGUCCGGAUUGCAGUCUGCAACUCGACUGCAUGAAGUCGGAAUCGCUAGUAAUCGCGAAUCAGCAUKUCGCGGUGAAUACGUUCCCSGGCCUUGUACACACCGGCCGUCACACCAUGGGAGUUG
RNAcentral lists this ribosomal RNA (1325 nucleotides) under Thioalkalicoccus limnaeus. Its description in RNAcentral is "16S ribosomal RNA". It matches the Rfam family "Bacterial small subunit ribosomal RNA", at positions 94 to 1413 of the family's 1533-position model. The record is from RNAcentral. Lineage: Bacteria; Pseudomonadati; Pseudomonadota; Gammaproteobacteria; Chromatiales; Chromatiaceae.